AGAGUUUGAUCAUGGCUCAGGAUGAACGCUAGCUACAGGCUUAACACAUGCAAGUCGAGGGGAAACGACAUCGAAAGCUUGCUUUUGAUGGGCGUCGACCGGCGCACGGGUGAGUAACGCGUAUCCAACCUGCCCAUCACUUGGGGAUAACCUUGCGAAAGUAAGACUAAUACCCAAUGACGUCUCUAGAAGACAUCUGAAAGAGAUUAAAGAUUUAUCGGUGAUGGAUGGGGAUGCGUCUGAUUAGCUUGUUGGCGGGGUAACGGCCACCAAGGCGACGAUCAGUAGGGGUUCUGAGAGGAAGGUCCCCCACAGUUGGAACUGAGACACGGUCAAACUCUACGGAGGCA
Molecule: ribosomal RNA, 350 nt
Filed under: uncultured bacterium
Lineage: Bacteria
Description: bacterial SSU rRNA
Rfam family: Bacterial small subunit ribosomal RNA
Source: RNAcentral